Molecule: long non-coding RNA, 1639 nt
Organism: Homo sapiens (human)
Lineage: Eukaryota; Metazoa; Chordata; Mammalia; Primates; Hominidae
Exons: 2
Source: RefSeq, a predicted model, not a curated record
GCUUUUGGCAUCUCCAUUCAUUCCGGAACAGCCAGUCAGCCCUCUCUGCUGUGUCCCAGAGCACCAGGAAGUGAGUAACAGUCCUAGAGUGAGACAUGGAGGAUACAGCCAAGUAUCAGAGGAGUGCUGGCUCGCUGCUGCUUCUACACGUCACCGUACUGGGGGAAUCCUAUGUGAAGCCGCCCCAUGUCCUGUCUGCCUGGAUACUCACCAUGCAGAUAGCUCUCUGCAUUCAGCAGGGUCUGGCUUAGGCCCUCUCCUGGGGGCCGGAGACCCCUCUGUUCUUCUCCAGACCCUGCAGAAUUCUGGAGAGGAGAGGAAGGUGGAACACACACUUUCUUCCUGCUUUUCUAGGUUGCUGGGUCAUCUCUCUCCUUCUUUUAGCUACGAACUCACAGUCCACCCACUUCUUCUUCUUUACAAGCCCCUUGGGUCCUCCAAGAACCAAAGUAAAAAAAUGCUUUAAAAAUGCGCAGGUCCAUUCUACUUCCACCCUGCCAUGUAGCUUCCCUGAAGUGACGCUGCACAGGUUCUUCCAUCUGCUUGUGGGGGAGGAGUUUCAUCUGCUUGUGGAAAAUAAAAGGCAAGCAAGGGGUACAACUUAAUUUUUUUUUUCUUUUGACAACUUAAUUUUUUUUUUCUCUUGAGACGGAGUCUCGCUCUAUCACCAGGCUGGAGUGCAGUGGCGCAAUUUCGGCUCACUGCAACCUCCACCUUCCGGGUUCAAGUGAUUCUCCUACCUCAGCCUCCUGAGUAGCUGGGACUACAGGUCCCUGCCACCAUGCCCGGCUAAUUUUUGUAUUUUUAGUAGAGAUGGGGUUUCACCAUGUUGGCCUGGCUGGUCUCAAUCUCUUGACCUCAUGAUCCACCCACCUUGGCCUCCCAAAGUUCUGGGAUUACAGGCGUGAGCCACCACGCCUGGGCGGGAUACAACUUAACAUUUUUUUUAAAAAAUAAUAUUUAGGAAAAACAAUCAUAAAGAUAUUGAUUAUAAAAGCCCACGAUUUUGGUAUAAAUUUGUCCACCUGAAAUAAUCAAAGAAAGAGAAUCCCAUUUCCAAGAGUUUAUUCAAAUGAAAAGCUGGGAAAACCCUUUCAUCUUGGUAAGUGUAGGAGUGGGAGAAAUAGCAUGCUUAAGUCAUUUAUUUAUAGACAGCCAUCCAGUUCUUAGAAUAUACUCACUGUAUUCACACAACACUGUUUUUGAGGCCUACUAAUAGUGCUUUAUUUGUAUGUAUGUAUGCAUAUAUGUGCACAAAUAUCUAUUUUCUAUAGAAUAUAUAGUUAAUAUAGCUAUAUUGCAUCAUGAUGAAAUUGUGUGUAAUUGCUAUAAUAUAUAUAAAGAAAAAUAUAUACAUCUAUAUAAAUGUAUAAAAUAAACACAAUCAGAAAAUAAACACACGCAAGCAAAAAACAGAUGCAAAUACAUUUAUACUAGGGACCAUUGGGUCCUCUUGCCACCUGCAAAUACAUUUACAUAAAAUUGUAUGUAAAAGCUAUGAUAUAUACAGAGAAAUAUAUAUAUGUAUAUCAAUAUAAAUGUAUACAAUAAACACAACCAUGUCUUAUGCAUAAAUUCUCCAAGUAAAAGCCAUCUAAAUUUAGCAUACUUUGCAGUACAAUAAAUGUUGCAAAUAAGA